AGUGGUUACAAGCAGCAGAGCUGCUUUCAGCUGCCUGAGGUAACUGUCUGUAAAGUGCAAGGCCACGUACAAAAGAAAAGGGAUGAAGAAAUGGAAGAAACAUUAUCCAAGGUUGAAGAAAUGUAUUCUUCAGUUUCCCGGUUAACAGGCUCUCCGGAGCGUGACUCAUAAACCCUUGCAGCUCAAACAGCAUUGCAGAAUGAGCUACCAGCAACCUCUUUGUCCUUCACGUGAUGUUACUGAAUCAGCUCAAGAUAAUUCAUACCUUGGAGCAGCCUCACAUUGCAAGAAGGAGCGUUAUUUCUCAACAUAGAACAAACAGAAGACAGAAUUAACUCCAUCUUAUAGCUGCAUUACCACCCUGCUAUUCACUUCCUGACUUCAGCUCAAGUGCCUACAGGCCCUGUCCUGCUAAGCUCUGUACAAGGCCUGACAUUUGACACCCAAGACCCCAGGACUUACACAGAGGCACAAGCGGAGGCCCUGGGGAAGAGGAGAUGCAGCUUGAUGUGAACUGCCCUGGGCUGGUGCGUGCGUGUGAGUGCCAGCUGCUCAUGUUUAGCAUCGAAUCCUUGUGCGAUCACAAGCAACUUAAUCAGCUUUGCAUCUAAAGGGGUUACCAUCACUGAUGACCGACAGACAUCUUUCCACUGGUUUCAGUGUAUUAAAAGUCCAAUUGAAAGUGGCAGGAUGGCUGGGAGAGGAUGAGGGAUAGGAGCUGCAGUGUGAUUCUACUCCACAAAGGCAUCCCAUGAGAAGUGAGCUGUGGGGAAAUGAACCUGGUCUAAUAGCAAGUUGACCUAUGGACUCUGCCAAAAAAAAUCUUCCAUGUGAACUUGAGUUUGCAAGGCCCUUUUUUCUUUCCCAAAAACUCCGCAUUCUGAAAAAGGACAUCUGUGACAAGAUGGAACUUGGCACCAGUAACUUAUGUACUAUGGGUGAAGCAUGCUCAGAAGAGGCAGACCCAGAAGUAAUUUUUCAUCAAAUAACUUUUUAAAGCCAUUAUUAAAACUAGCAUACAUUUCCUCUGCUGCUGGCAGCUUCAAUGGACAGGACAGGAUUGAUUUGGGUAGUCCUGCAUCUUGUAAAUGGCUCUGGGUGAAUCCGGAGAAUUGCAUGUGAUUUGUCAGAGUCUUCACAACCUUUGAAGGGUGACUGACUAAGAGCUGUGGUUUGAGAUUGCUGCUUGAGUCAUAGCGAACACAUUUUAAAGAGAUCCUGGCAGGGACACAGGCUGGUCAAGAUAGCCUGGAUGAUACUGAAGUGGUUGGAAGUGGAUCUGGAUGGAUUGAACUCAUGGCUCACUCAGAAUCAAAAUCAUAAAAGCAUGGCAUGGUUUCAGUUGGAAAGGACCCUUAAAGGCCAUCUAGUCCAACUCAUCUGCAAUGAACAGGGACAUCUACAGCUUGAUCAGAGUGCUCAGAGGAGGGAAAGGACAAUAAAAGUAUUUGUACACAAAAAUACUCUGAGCCACAGAGGCGUUUUUAAGAUAAAUGGUAAAACUGAACUGGAAAUCCAUCUGGCCAGCUGCCUGAUCUAAUGAAUAACCCCACUUUGGCUCCUGCAAUGUAAGCAGAAAGAGUUCUCUCCCGGCCGCUUUCGUCUGUCAUGAAUCUACAAGACAGCCGACAUAAUAUCUGGGCGACAACAGCGUGCUAACAGUGCAGUGACUUCCAUUUUCUUUGCUUUCUAUUGAUUUUCACUUAAUAACUGGCGAAAUACUAAACGUCCGCCCUGAGUACCUAAUAAAUCCUGCCUGAGCUUUUUAUUGAGGAGAAUUUAAUAAAAACAACCAUUGUGGCUGAGGGAUUUUUCUUCUGGACAG
Long non-coding RNA from Centrocercus urophasianus (Greater sage-grouse), 1825 nucleotides. RefSeq lists it as uncharacterized. The record is from RefSeq and is a predicted model, not a curated record. Lineage: Eukaryota; Metazoa; Chordata; Aves; Galliformes; Phasianidae. The transcript is spliced from 11 exons.